This 903-nucleotide ribosomal RNA is filed under the name Salmonella enterica. RNAcentral's name for it is "partial 23S ribosomal RNA". It matches the Rfam family "Bacterial large subunit ribosomal RNA", at positions 2040 to 2925 of the family's 2925-position model. Lineage: Bacteria; Pseudomonadati; Pseudomonadota; Gammaproteobacteria; Enterobacterales; Enterobacteriaceae. The record is from RNAcentral.
AAUUGAACUCGCUGUGAAGAUGCAGUGUACCCGCGGCAAGACGGAAAGACCCCGUGAACCUUUACUAUAGCUUGACACUGAACAUUGAGCCUUGAUGUGUAGGAUAGGUGGGAGGCUUUGAAGCGUGGACGCCAGUCUGCGUGGAGCCGGCCUUGAAAUACCACCCUUUAAUGUUUGAUGUUCUAACGUGGACCCGUGAUCCGGGUUGCGGACAGUGUCUGGUGGGUAGUUUGACUGGGGCGGUCUCCUCCUAAAGAGUAACGGAGGAGCACGAAGGUUGGCUAAUCCUGGUCGGACAUCAGGAGGUUAGUGCAAUGGCAUAAGCCAGCUUGACUGCGAGCGUGACGGCGCGAGCAGGUGCGAAAGCAGGUCAUAGUGAUCCGGUGGUUCUGAAUGGAAGGGCCAUCGCUCAACGGAUAAAAGGUACUCCGGGGAUAACAGGCUGAUACCGCCCAAGAGUUCAUAUCGACGGCGGUGUUUGGCACCUCGAUGUCGGCUCAUCACAUCCUGGGGCUGAAGUAGGUCCCAAGGGUAUGGCUGUUCGCCAUUUAAAGUGGUACGCGAGCUGGGUUUAGAACGUCGUGAGACAGUUCGGUCCCUAUCUGCCGUGGGCGCUGGAGAACUGAGGGGGGCUGCUCCUAGUACGAGAGGACCGGAGUGGACGCAUCACUGGUGUUCGGGUUGUCAUGCCAAUGGCACUGCCCGGUAGCUAAAUGCGGAAGAGAUAAGUGCUGAAAGCAUCUAAGCACGAAACUUGCCCCGAGAUGAGUUCUCCCUGAGACUUUAAGUCUCCUGAAGGAACGUUGAAGACGACGACGUUGAUAGGCCGGGUGUGUAAGCGCAGCGAUGCGUUGAGCUAACCGGUACUAAUGAACCGUGAGGCUUAACCUUACAACGCCGAAG